Molecule: ribosomal RNA, 344 nt
Filed under: uncultured bacterium
Lineage: Bacteria
Description: partial 16S ribosomal RNA
Rfam family: Bacterial small subunit ribosomal RNA
Source: RNAcentral
CCUACGGGUGGCAGCAGUCGAGAAUCAUUCACAAUGGGGGAAACCCUGAUGGUGCGACGCCGCGUGGGGGAAUGAAGGUCUUCGGAUUGUAAACCCCUGUCAUGUGGGAGCAAAUUCAAAAGAUAGUACCACAAGAGGAAGAGCCGGCUAACUCUGUGCCAGCAGCCGCGGUAAUACAGGGGUCUAAAGCGUUGUUCGGAAUCACUGGGCGUAAAGCGUGCGUAGGUUGUUUGGUGAGUGGUGUGUGAAAGGCGCGGGCACAACCCGCGGACGGCACAUGAAACUGGGAGACUAGAGUGGUGGAGGGGGAGGCGGAAUGCGCGGUGUAGCAGUGAAAUGCAUAG